CAGUCGCCGCGGUAAAACGGAGGGUGCAAGCGUUAAUCGGAAUUACUGGGCGUAAAGCGCACGCAGGCGGUCUGACAAGUCAGAUGUGAAAUCCCCGGGCUUAACCUGGGAACUGCAUUUGAAACUGUCAGGCUGGAGUCUUGUAGAGGGGGGUAGAAUUCCAGGUGUAGCGGUGAAAUGCGUAGAGAUCUGGAGGAAUACCGGUGGCGAAGGCGGCCCCCUGGACAAAGACUGACGCUCAGGUGCGAAAGCGUGGGGAGCAAACAGGAUUAGAUACCCGGGUAGUCCCUGUCUCUUAUAC
RNAcentral lists this ribosomal RNA (301 nucleotides) under uncultured bacterium. RNAcentral describes it as "partial 16S ribosomal RNA". It matches the Rfam family "Bacterial small subunit ribosomal RNA", at positions 509 to 807 of the family's 1533-position model. The record is from RNAcentral.